UUUUUACGGAGAGUUUGAUCCUGGCUCAGGAUGAACGCUGGCGGCGUGCUUAACACAUGCAAGUCGAACGGUGAAGCCAAGCUUGCUUGGUGGAUCAGUGGCGAACGGGUGAGUAACACGUGAGCAACCUGCCCUGGACUCUGGGAUAAGCGCUGGAAACGGCGUCUAAUACUGGAUAUGAGACGUGAUCGCAUGGUCGUGUUUGGAAAGAUUUUUCGGUCUGGGAUGGGCUCGCGGCC
RNAcentral lists this ribosomal RNA (239 nucleotides) under Microbacterium testaceum StLB037. RNAcentral's name for it is "partial 16S rRNA. Bacterial SSU". It matches the Rfam family "Bacterial small subunit ribosomal RNA", at positions 1 to 238 of the family's 1533-position model. Lineage: Bacteria; Bacillati; Actinomycetota; Actinomycetes; Micrococcales; Microbacteriaceae. The record is from RNAcentral.